UACGGGAGGCAGCAGUGGGGAAUAUUGCACAAUGGGCGCAAGCCUGAUGCAGCCAUGCCGCGUGUAUGAAGAAGGCCUUCGGGUUGUAAAGUACUUUCAGUCGUGAGGAAGGUGUUAAGGUUAAUAACCUUAGCAAUUGACGUUAGCGACAGAAGAAGCACCGGCUAACUCCGUGCCAGCAGCCGCGGUAAUACGGAGGGUGCGAGCGUUAAUCGGAAUUACUGGGCGUAAAGGGCACGCAGGCGGUUAAUUAAGUUGGAUGUGAAAUCCCCGGGCUUAACCUGGGAAUGGCAUUCAAGACUGGUUAGCUAGAGUCUUGUAGAGGGGGUAGAAUUCCAUGUGUAGCGGUGAAAUGCGUAGAGAUGUGGAGGAAUACCGGUGGCGAAGGCGGCCCCUGGGACAAAGGGACCUGACGCGUCAUGUGCGAAAGCGUGGGGAGCAAAC
RNAcentral lists this ribosomal RNA (444 nucleotides) under uncultured bacterium. Its description in RNAcentral is "bacterial SSU rRNA". It matches the Rfam family "Bacterial small subunit ribosomal RNA", at positions 340 to 773 of the family's 1533-position model. The record is from RNAcentral.